AAAUAUGCCCUACAUAAUCGAUAACCAAUUCAAAAUCGCCCAGGAGAAAUUUAUUCUCUGAGCUCCCAUUUUGCAGACAAAAAUAUGCUUUCAUAAUCAAUAACCAUUUAAUUAAUGAUAUAAUCAAAAUCACCCAGAAAAAAAAUAUUCUCUGGACAUGUUCUUAUUUUUUGAAAGGAUUUUCUUCAUUUUUUUGGUUUCAUCUUUGAUCAAGAUCAUAAAAAAUAACUGAUACAUCUCUGUUAUCUCAUGCCUGAUAUUCAAAUCUACAUAUAUGUUAAUAGACACAAGUUAAAUUCAACUAAUUAAACGUGACAAGACUUUAUAUUUAUUCUCUGAUGCACAAACCUUUUAGCGGCGAGCGGCGGCGACGAGAGUCAGAUGCGAGAGCUAGAAGCGUUAAUGGGCGUAAAUAAUAUGAAGGGAUUCCCUUUACGUAAAUUAAUUUUUAAUUAAAUGGGUCGGAUUGGGUCGGGUUUUAAUUAAAUCUCUUGUAAAUUAAAAAUUUUUUUAUGACGUAAAUAAGGCCAUCCACGCUUCUGCAGAUCCCAUUCGUAAGUCAAUAAUGAUGAUGAUGUGAAGGAUAGAGUGGAAGCAAAUCAGACUAUAAAAAUGAAUGGAAAGGAAUUGACGAAGGGAGAAUCACUGGAUUGGAAGAAAUUGAUGGAUGAAGAUCCCAUUCAUUAUAGUUGUUGGAUUCUCUGUCUGCCUGGAUUCGUUUGUAUCAUUGUUGACCGUCGUGCCAACACGGAUCAUCGAAACCUUAUGGAGGCUUCUUAGAACAAGGCGGUUCAAGAUGCCUUCGUCAGCGGAGCUAUCAGAUUUUGGCUGUUUUGCUGUCCUGGUCAGUGGAGUCAGUAUAUUACAACAAGCAGGUGUAUUAAGGAGAUU
Molecule: long non-coding RNA, 891 nt
Organism: Olea europaea var. sylvestris
Lineage: Eukaryota; Viridiplantae; Streptophyta; Magnoliopsida; Lamiales; Oleaceae
Exons: 3
Source: RefSeq, a predicted model, not a curated record